UUUUUUGAAUCGAGCUAGUAGAAAUUCACAAGAUUUUGGAAUAGGAACUAUUGGGUUUUUAGGAUCCACGCUGUUAGUAUCAUACCGAAAUUCAUAUCCAAAGUGCUUCACCUGCCUGUGCUUCAACUCUGAAGGAUUCGUACCUGGGAUUUUGAAUAAAAUGUGAUCCAUAAUAUAGUUGAAAAAAUAUUUUUCAAGAUAAACACAUCAGAAGAGACAGUUCAUCAAUUGGAUUAGAAGCCACAGUUGCUUCAGAUACCGUACCUGCUUCAGACCAGUCGAGCAGUUCUAGCAAAAUUUUUUCUUCUUCAGCGGUUACAAAAUCUGUAAUGAUAUUCAACCCUGGAGGAAAAGGUUUAUCCCAUGAAUCAUCUUCCGCAGGUGGAACUGGAAGAAAAAGUUUCAAGUUUCCAUGAAGAGCUUCAAACACUACACGGGCAUCUUCUUUGGAUGGCAGUUCCAAAAAACAAUAAGAUUUUCUCAGGGGCGUAAUCAAAUUGUAGGAUGGCACCAAUUCAUUCAGGAUACUAUCGAUGGUCUCCCUUUGAAGUCCGGUCACUAACCCGGCAUUGCAAAUCAUUAGAUACUGUAAAAAUUGAGAUUUAUUAUAGAUUUCCACGUUGAAAAUGAGAUCAUACCUAUCGAUCGUACAGGAUUUAGCAAUCACAUUUGAAAUAAUGAUGUGUUGUGAUAAAUUCUUGAGUUACGAACCUCUGUUGGACAAUCACUGUGUUCGAUGUUCAUAUCUCUAGCAAGUCGGUGCUGCGCCCGACGUUGCUUGCGAAGCAUUUUUGUGACAGGAUUCAUAGCUCUUCUUGGGUUAUUGUUUCACGUCAUGUAGUAGGAAAUUACCUUUCAAAUGGCUAGGUAUACAAUUGCAUAUUUGGGGUUACGUAGAUUAUAGUAGCAACAGGACAUACAUAUGUAUAGUAUCACCGACAAAGAAAAAAAUAGUAAGAUGAUGGAUUCUCUCUUUCUAUAUCAGGGUCGUUGCAGAAUAUUCCCGGAUUCUGUUUUAAAAGUGUAAAUAGAAAUAAUUUAGUUCCAUGAAUGUUAUCCUUAGACAUUGCAAAAAUUAUAUUUCACUCGUGAAAUUAAUUGACUUAUCGAAUUAAUGGAGUUAUCGCUGUACUUUAGCGCUUGAAAAAGCAGAGUAAUUUUAAUAUCUUUGUAAAUCUCGGGCGCUGUGCAAUUGUGGACUAAUUGUAAGAUUCUUGUUUCCAAGAUCGAAAUACAUAUGUGUAAUUAUU
Athalia rosae (coleseed sawfly) is the source of this 1250-nucleotide long non-coding RNA. RefSeq lists it as uncharacterized. The transcript is spliced from 2 exons. Lineage: Eukaryota; Metazoa; Arthropoda; Insecta; Hymenoptera; Athaliidae. The record is from RefSeq and is a predicted model, not a curated record.